GAUGAACGCUGGCGGCGUGCCUAAUACAUGCAAGUCGAGCGAACAGAUGAGGAGCUUGCUCCUCUGACGUUAGCGGCGGACGGGUGAGUAACACGUGGAUAACCUACCUAUAAGACUGGGAUAACUUCGGGAAACCGGAGCUAAUACCGGAUAAUAUAUUGAACCGCAUGGUUCAAUAGUGAAAGAGGGUUUUGCUGUCACUUAUAGAUGGAUCCGCGCCGCAUUAGCUAGUUGGUAAGGUAACGGCUUACCAAGGCAACGAUGCGUAGCCGACCUGAGAGCGUGAUCGGCCACACUGGAACUGAGACACGGUCCAGACUCCUACGGGAGGCAGCAGUAGGGAAUCUUCCGCAAUGGGCGAAAGCCUGACGGAGCAACGCCGCGUGAGUGAUGAAGGUCUUCGGAUCGUAAAACUCUGUUAUUAGGGAAGAACAAAUGUGUAAGUACCUAUGCACGUCUUGACGGUACCUAAUCAGAAAGCCACGGCUAACUACGUG
This 497-nucleotide ribosomal RNA is filed under the name uncultured bacterium. RNAcentral's name for it is "partial 16S ribosomal RNA". It matches the Rfam family "Bacterial small subunit ribosomal RNA", at positions 28 to 507 of the family's 1533-position model. The record is from RNAcentral.